CUCCCCUGCCGAAACCCACGCUCGCGCUUUCCUUCCCCCCUUGCGCCCGAUCCUUGCCCUAACCGGCGCCGCAAACCCCACUGCCUCCCUCUCCUCAGCCCGACGCCACCGCCGGGCACCCCGUGCCCUCGCCGUGGAGGUCCCAGUGGCGCCGCCAGCCCCUCUUCUGUGCGCUGUGCCCUAGCGUCGACGCCCCAUUUCCGACGCCACAGCGUCGCGGCCGGUCGCUAGCCACCCGAGCUCUAGUCGCCGGCUAACUCCCUGUGCCCUAACCGCCAGCCACCGAGAGCCCUCAGACUACCGCCGACUCUUGACCCGAGCACCACCGGCGGCAGCCCGAGUCCCUCCCAGCAGCCGCCGAACUCACGUGCCCUAGAUUUUUGGGUCCACUUGAUCACAGCACCAGUUGGUCUUCUCUCGCCGUUGCUCAUUGCUUUGGUUCAUCACCACAGUAGCGUUGGAAAGGAGCUUACGAAUUUGGUUUUGGGGUAACCAGUGUUGAAUCUCAAUCUGGUAGUGGUGAAUUGUUGGUCUUUUCUUGAUCCGAGCAGCGAGGUGAAUUUCCAGCAGGACUUUGACGCGAGACGAGUAUCUCGGAGUCAGAUUGGACCUUCCUAU
Long non-coding RNA from Zingiber officinale, 618 nucleotides. RefSeq lists it as uncharacterized. The record is from RefSeq and is a predicted model, not a curated record. The transcript is spliced from 3 exons. NCBI's taxonomy places the organism in Eukaryota, Viridiplantae, Streptophyta, Magnoliopsida, Zingiberales, Zingiberaceae.